This 253-nucleotide ribosomal RNA is filed under the name uncultured bacterium. RNAcentral describes it as "partial 16S ribosomal RNA". It matches the Rfam family "Bacterial small subunit ribosomal RNA", at positions 524 to 776 of the family's 1533-position model. The record is from RNAcentral.
UACAGGGGGGGCAAGCGUUGUUCGGAAUUACUGGGCGUAAAGGGGUUGUAGGCGGCCAACUAAGUCCGACGUGAAAUCCCAAAGCUUAACUUUGGAACUGCGUCGGAUACUGGAUGGCUUGAAUUCGGGAGAGGGAUGCAGAAUUCCAGGUGUAGCGGUGAAAUGCGUAGAUAUCUGGAGGAACACCAAUAGCGAAGGCAGCUCGCUGGGACGUUACUGACACUGAGGCGCGAAAGCGUGGGGAGCGAACAGG